This 637-nucleotide ribosomal RNA is filed under the name Triodiomyces triodiae. RNAcentral's name for it is "LSU rRNA". It matches the Rfam family "Eukaryotic large subunit ribosomal RNA", at positions 43 to 661 of the family's 3401-position model. Lineage: Eukaryota; Fungi; Basidiomycota; Ustilaginomycetes; Ustilaginales; Ustilaginaceae. The record is from RNAcentral.
UCAAUAAGCGGAGGAAAAGAAACUAACAAGGAUUCCCCUAGUAACGGCGAGUGAAGAGGGAAGAGCCCAAGAUUGAAAGCUGGCGUCUUCGGCGUCCGCAUUGUAAUCUCAAGAAGCGUUUUCCGCUUCGGACCAUGCCUAAGUCCCUUGGAAAAGGGCAUCAUAGAGGGUGAUAAUCCCGUACAUGGCAUGGAGCGCCCGAAGCUUUGUGAUACGCUUUCUAAGAGUCGAGUUGUUUGGGAAUGCAGCUCAAAAUGGGUGGUAAAUGCCAUCUAAGGCUAAAUAUUGGGGAGAGACCGAUAGCGAACAAGUACAGUGAUGGAAAGAUGAAAAGAACUUUGAAAAGAGAGUUAAACAGUACGUGAAAUUGCCAAAAGGGAAGGGUAGGAGGUCAGAGAUGCGGCCUGGGAUUCAGCCUUGCUUUUGCUUGGUGUUUUUCCCAGGUUGCAGGCCAACGUCGGUUUUGGGCACUGGAGAAGGGUAGGAGGAAUGUGGCACCUCUCGGGGUGUGUUAUAGCCUCCUACUGGAUACAGCGACCGAGACCGAGGACAGCAGCGUACUCGCAAGAGCGGGCCUUCGGGCACCUUUACGCUUAGGGCGUUGGCAUAAUGGCCCUCUACCACCCGUCUUGAAACA